CGCAGACCAGCCAUGAGCGAAUCUGCCUAUGAGAGGGGGAUAUAAUUUCGAAAGGAAUGCUAAUACCGCAUACGCCCUACGGGGGAAAGCAGGGGAUCUUCGGACCUCGCGCUAUUAGAUGGGGCUAGGUCUGAUUAUCUAUUUGGGGGGGUAAAGGCCCACCAAGGCGACGAUCUGUAGCGGGGCUGAGAGGAUGAUCCGCCACACUGGGACUGAGACACGGGCCAGACUCCUACGGGAGGCAGCAGUGGGGAAUAUUGGACAAUGGGCGAAAGCCUGAUCCAGCCAUGCCGCGUGUGUGAAGAAGGCCUUCUGGUUGUAAAGCACUUUUUUGGAGGAGGAGGCUACUGUGGGUAAUACCCCCGGAUAGUGGGCGUGACUCGGAAAAAAAGCCCCGGUUAACUCUGGGCCCGCAGCCCGGGAAAAACAGAGGGGGGAAGGGUAAUUCGGAAUUCUGGGGGGAAAGGGGGCGGAAGGGGGUUUAUAUAAGUCGAGAUGAAAAAUCCCUGAGCUUACCUUGGGAAUCUGCAUUCGAAGACUGUGAAGCUAGAGUAUGAGAGAGGAUGGGAGAAUUCCAGGGUGUAGCGAGUGAAAUGCGUAGAUAUGUGGAGGAAUACCGA
RNAcentral lists this ribosomal RNA (620 nucleotides) under bacterium. RNAcentral's name for it is "partial 16S ribosomal RNA". It matches the Rfam family "Bacterial small subunit ribosomal RNA", at positions 100 to 712 of the family's 1533-position model. The record is from RNAcentral.